This 429-nucleotide ribosomal RNA is filed under the name Acidobacteriota bacterium. RNAcentral describes it as "Acidobacteria bacterium partial 16S ribosomal RNA". It matches the Rfam family "Bacterial small subunit ribosomal RNA", at positions 355 to 776 of the family's 1533-position model. Lineage: Bacteria; Pseudomonadati; Acidobacteriota. The record is from RNAcentral.
CGGGGAAUUUUGGUCAACGGGGGAAACCCUGAUCCAGCCAUCCCGCGUGUGCGAUGAAGGCCUUCGGGUUGUAAAGCACUUUUGGCAGGAAAGAAACGUCAUGGGUUAAUACCCCGUGAAACUGACGGUACCUGCAGAAUAAGCACCGGCUAACUACGUGCCAGCAGCCGCGGUAAUACGUAGGGUGCAAGCGUUAAUCGGAAUUACUGGGCGUAAAGCGUGCGCAGGCGGUUCGGAAAGAAAGAUGUGAAAUCCCAGAGCUCAACUUUGGAACUGCAUUUUUAGCUACCGGGCUAGAGUGUGUCAGAGGGAGGUAGAAUUCCGCUUGUAGCAGUGAAAUGCGUAGAUAUGCGGAGGAACACCGAUGGCGAAGGCAGCCUCCUGGGUUAACACUGACGCUCAUGCACGAAAGCGUGGGGAGCAAACAGG